ACGAGAGGGCCGCUACCACGCGAGUGGAUGCCAAUCCCCAAAACCUCUCUCAGUUCGGACUGGAGUCUGCAACCCGACUCCACGAAGCUGGAUUCGCUAGUAAUCGCGCAUCAGCCACGGCGCGGUGAAUACGUUCCCGGGCCUUGUACACACCGCCCGUCAAGCCAUGGGAGCCGGGGGUACCUGAAGUGCGUAACCGCGAGGAGCGCCCUAGGGUAAAACCGGUGACUGGGGCUAAGUCGUAACAAGGUAGC
This 254-nucleotide ribosomal RNA is filed under the name uncultured bacterium. RNAcentral's name for it is "partial 16S ribosomal RNA". It matches the Rfam family "Bacterial small subunit ribosomal RNA", at positions 1238 to 1500 of the family's 1533-position model. The record is from RNAcentral.